GCCAGGUUAGUAUGAUAAAAAGUACGCCGAAUUUAGGUUUCGGAAGAAAAUAAAAUUUACUUGGUU
This 66-nucleotide transfer RNA is filed under the name Talonostrea talonata. RNAcentral describes it as "Crassostrea talonata tRNA-Leu". Lineage: Eukaryota; Metazoa; Mollusca; Bivalvia; Ostreida; Ostreidae. The record is from RNAcentral.